This 425-nucleotide ribosomal RNA is filed under the name uncultured bacterium. Its description in RNAcentral is "partial 16S ribosomal RNA". It matches the Rfam family "Bacterial small subunit ribosomal RNA", at positions 354 to 796 of the family's 1533-position model. The record is from RNAcentral.
GUGGGGAAUCUUGCGCAAUGGGCGAAAGCCUGACGCAGCCAUGCCGCGUGAAUGAUGAAGGUCUUAGGAUUGUAAAAUUCUUUCACCGGGGACGAUAAUGACGGUACCCGGAGAAGAAGCCCCGGCUAACUUCGUGCCAGCAGCCGCGGUAAUACGAAGGGGGCUAGCGUUGCUCGGAAUUACUGGGCGUAAAGGGCGCGUAGGCGGACAGUUUAGUCAGAGGUGAAAGCCCAGGGCUCAACCUUGGAAUUGCCUUUGAUACUGGCUGUCUUGAGUUUGGGAGAGGUGAGUGGAACUCCGAGUGUAGAGGUGAAAUUCGUAGAUAUUCGGAAGAACACCAGUGGCGAAGGCGACUCACUGGCCAAAUACUGACGCUGAGGUGCGAAAGCAUGGGGAGCAAACAGGAUUAGAAACCCGUGUAGUCC